CCACGAUCGAUUGAUUUAAUUUCCACCUAUUCGCUGCCAAAGUCAAACUCACAAUGUCGCGCAAAACCCUCGGCGAAAAGAAAAAAAGUCACAUCUCGCGUGUCACUUACAACUUCGCGCUGAGCAAAGAAAUCGAAAAUGCGAUGAUUUGGCGCCAAUCCUUGGAACUGAGGGAUAUUGUACGCGGUAAAAGUAUAGAUGUCACACCCAAGCUCAUCGAUACCGAUACGCGGUCAACGCUUCGAUUUCGCAGUAUAGCCACCUAUGCCGAAGAUCUUAUAAAACAAAUGACCAAAAGCUCCAGCGUACAAAGUUUCAAUAGUCGCCGAAUAAGCAUAAGUUCAGUGAAAGCCAAGUCCAGUACACGUCUGGGUCUGAAACUUUCACUAGACGAAAUCAUACAAGCAAUUGGAUCGAGCGGUUCACUCCACGAAUAUCAUCACUAUUACCAUGAAAUUACUUUCGCCAAGCGAGAACCUUUACCUUUUAUAAAAGUGGUUUUGCGCAAGUCGCCCGAAUUCGUGUUAUACCAUCAAAACAGUUUUACCGUACCGAAAGGCAGUGCAGAAGCCGAUGUUGUCGAACAUGACAAUCGCAUUUACGAUUACCUAACAAUAGGUAAGGGCAAAGUACGUCGGCGUUCCGAUGCCGAAACGCAGACAGUCGGUGUGCUGAUGAAGCCGCGCACUGUCAGUACAAACGUAAAGAAAUUCGGCGAAAGGGCAGCUUACGUAUCGUUUUUCGAAAUGUUCGACACCUACCAACAACUGCUCCAAACACCGACCGCGCUCAAUGAGCGUCAUUCACUUAGUACGGGCGUUUUAGAUUUAAUUGCAAAAAAUCCACAAUUCUCCUACGCGGCCAUGGUGUUGGAACGUAUAUUGGCUAGCAAUUGUUAUCAUCAGGGACAACGCCGUUAUCGCAACAUGAAUAUACCCACUAAAAUGGACAAAUACGCCGAGUAUAAAUACUCGUUGAAUCUUCUCUAUCGCUUGAUACAGCCCAAAUUUCAAGGUGGCCUGGAUAAGCGGCGCAAAGCUAUUGCUGCUCUAAGUUUUUGUCAUGGCAAUGGUGAUUUAAUAGCCGUCGCAUAUGGUUUCUAUUCGGAUGCUUCGAAAGUUACCGUGCCGAAUGGUAACGUCUGCGUUUGGAGUAUGAAGAAUCCACAAAACCCGGAACGCCACUACAGCUAUCCAGUGCCGGUAUCAGCAGUUGAGUUCUCACCAUUUUUACCUUUUCUCCUUGCCAUUGGCCUAUACGAUGGCACAGUGCAAGUGCGAAACAUAACAAAACCGGACUAUCCGCCGGUUGCGAUUUCGCAGCGCAGCGUUUUAUUGAGCUGUGAACCGGUGACCGCUAUACAAUGGAUUCGCCAAACACAAGAGAAUGCCGCCGAAGCAGAUCCAUUUUUAGCGUUAACUCGUGAUGGCAAAGUAGCGAAAUUCCGCAUUAUAGCGAGCCCAUAUCUGUUGGGUAUGCGUCAGAUGGAGCUACUGCGCAUCGAAGGCAAUCCUGAAGGGUUUCAAUCCAAAAAUAUUGUAAUGAACGAAGAAAAGUCGCUCGAUUCGGGACGUAGCGCUAGCGGUUUGCAUCUAGUUAUGCAUCCGGUGCAAAGCGAUAUCUAUUACAUACUCACUGACGAAGGUUGCAUACAGAAGUGCUCGCUGAAUCACACACAUCAUUAUUUGGAAAUGUUGAAGGUUCAUGAGGGCUCAGUUAACCAUAUGGAUUUCUCACCUUGGUCACCGAAACUGUUUCUAACCUGCGGCAAUGAUUGGACAAUUCGCAUUUGGCUGGAGGGUAUUUUUCAGCCUCUAAUAACCCUUUGCGAUCGCUAUAUGCCAGUUCAUUGUGCCAUGUGGAGUCGUACUCACUCAACGGUAAUUAUUGCUGUCAAUCGUGAAACUAUUGACAUAUGGGAUUUACGACGAAACUUAUUGGACCCUAUAUCAACCACAAAUAUAGAUUCUUCAUUUCAUACCCUAGCAAACCAAGCAACAGUGCCAGGCAAUGAAUCAACUUUUUACCGAUAUUUGAACGACCAACCGACCAUGUGACCCGACGCACAGAGAUUGCUUUGCGCUUUAAAACAAUACCGAAUGUCCCAACGCAAUCAAGCAACGAGAGGAGCGACAGCCCAAACAGCACGCAAAUCAAAGGCAAAAGCUUUAACAACAAACGGCAGGAGGAGCAAAUAGCGGUGGAAUUGACUUGAAUGAAAACGUCCUUGCAUUUUGAGGUGUAAUUGAAUAAAGUAUCACAUACAUACAACUGUGAAAACACAAUUCAUGCUCUCGCUUCAAGUGACGGAUUAAAAGAUGGAUCAUAUCAACCAGCAUCAAAUAGCUUAAAAAGAGGUCAGCGACGAAGUCGGCUACAAGUUAACAAGCUUAAUACGCAUCAAUAAUAAAUGUUUUUAUUUAAACUAUAAUUAUCGUUCAUUUUUGUAGUGAAGUUGAAAUAAAUAUAUUUAAAAUUCCUACAGGGACAAUAUG
This is an RNA transcript of Bactrocera tryoni, 2495 nucleotides long. It is a transcript of the gene named dynein intermediate chain 4, axonemal-like, with no coding region annotated. The record is from RefSeq and is a predicted model, not a curated record. Lineage: Eukaryota; Metazoa; Arthropoda; Insecta; Diptera; Tephritidae. The transcript has 5 exons.